AUUGAACGCUGGCGGCAUGCCUUACACAUGCAAGUCGAACGGUAACGGGCCUUCGGGUGCCGACGAGUGGCGAACGGGUGAGUAAUACAUCGGAACGUGCCCGAUCGUGGGGGAUAACGAGGCGAAAGCUUUGCAAAUACCGCAUACGAUCUACGGAUGAAAGCAGGGGACCGCAAGGCCUUGCGCGGACGGAGCGGCCGAUGGCAGAUUAGGUAGUUGGUGGGAUAAAAGCUUACCAAGCCGACGAUCUGUAGCUGGUCUGAGAGGAUGAUCAGCCACACUGGGACUGAGACACGGCCCAGACUCCUACGGGAGGCAGCAGUGGGGAAUUUUGGACAAUGGGCGCAAGCCUGAUCCAGCCAUGCCGCGUGCAGGAUGAAGGCCUUCGGGUUGUAAACUGCUUUUGUACGGAACGAAAAGCCUUCUUUUAAUACAGGAGGGUCAUGACGGUACCGUAAGAAUAAGCACCGGCUAACUACGUG
RNAcentral lists this ribosomal RNA (482 nucleotides) under uncultured bacterium. RNAcentral describes it as "partial 16S ribosomal RNA". It matches the Rfam family "Bacterial small subunit ribosomal RNA", at positions 30 to 507 of the family's 1533-position model. The record is from RNAcentral.